Non-coding RNA from Labrus bergylta (ballan wrasse), 268 nucleotides. Lineage: Eukaryota; Metazoa; Chordata; Actinopteri; Labriformes; Labridae. The record is from RefSeq and is a predicted model, not a curated record.
CACAAAACUCUCACACAGGUUCUUUAAAGUAAAGUUAGGAGCCGAAGUAGCAAGGCUGUUUGCUCCAUACAACAACAACAACAACAACAACAACAACAACAACAACAACAACAACAACAAGGCUGAUAAAGUUCCAAGCAUUCAGCUUAAAGCAGACCUUCUUGCUUCAGGACUUGGAGAACAAAGGUGAUCUUUUCAGGAAAUGACAACGAUCCCAUGGUUGUAACAAACAAACUGAUGGAGGUGUUUCCAAAGCUGCAAGAAGGGG